This 449-nucleotide ribosomal RNA is filed under the name uncultured bacterium. RNAcentral's name for it is "partial 16S ribosomal RNA". It matches the Rfam family "Bacterial small subunit ribosomal RNA", at positions 29 to 523 of the family's 1533-position model. The record is from RNAcentral.
AGUGAACGCUGGCAGCAUGCUUAACACAUGCAAGUCGCGCGCCUCGCAAGGGGAGCGGCGGACGGGUGAGUAACGCGUAGGAAUGUGUCCAGAGGUGGGGGACAACCCCGGGAAACUGGGGCUAAUACCGCAUAUGUCCUGAGGGACAAAGCAGUAAUGCGCCUUUGGAGCAGCCUGCGUCCGAUUAGGUAGUUGGUGGGGUAAUGGCCUACCAAGCCUGCGAUCGGUAGCUGGUCUGAGAGGAUGAUCAGCCACACUGGGACUGAGACACGGCCCAGACUCCUACGAGAGGCAGCAGUGGGGAAUAUUGGACAAUGGGCGCAAGCCUGAUCCAGCAAUGCCGCGUGGGUGAAGAAGGUCUUCGGAUCGUAAAGCCCUUUCGACAGGGACGAUGAUGACGGUACCUGUAGAAGAAGCCCCGGCUAACUUCGUGCCAGCAGCCGCCGUAA